GAGAUGAACCAGCACUAAUCUGUCAUGAGACGAGAUGUGUUGGAAGAAAAAGAAUAAAUAAACGCGGCGCUGAGAGCGACAUGGCAUCCUUGAUUAUAUGUUUCCGAGAACUCCUCGCCGCGCACACCCAUCCCCAUGGAGAGAACACGUUUCAUGAUGGAGGCCCAUAACGGAAACUCACCGUGGAGACAUCUCGUACGAAAGCCUCGCACUCGCACCACCCGAGGGUACAAUUCAAAAAAUAAAUUUGGAUUUGGCGCUAAGGAGUGUAAAAAAAUGUGAGAACCUAUCCUGACUGUGACCUUACGAAGAAAAAUGGCCGAGAAGCGUGGAAAAUCGCAGACCAGACGGGUGACAAAAGCGAGACCCGAUGAGAAAAGAAGCCUUUGAGAAUUUUUAAUAAAAGACAUCUCCGGUCAAAGACUGGGCAAGGUCGUAAAAGUGGACCAUCAAAGGAUUGACCCCUGGCAGGCCGACACGCAUAUUAAGCGGACAGCCAAUGAAUUCGAAGCGUCUCCAAGUGUAAAAUUAUUAUUCAAAACAACAAAACACUGACAAACAGGCCAAGUGACGUUAUUUCGAGAUGGCUGCGGAGUUGGUUUGAUUUCAAAAUAGCUUCAAUUU
This is a long non-coding RNA of Neocloeon triangulifer, 624 nucleotides long. RefSeq lists it as uncharacterized. NCBI's taxonomy places the organism in Eukaryota, Metazoa, Arthropoda, Insecta, Ephemeroptera, Baetidae. The record is from RefSeq and is a predicted model, not a curated record. The transcript is spliced from 3 exons.